RNAcentral lists this ribosomal RNA (181 nucleotides) under uncultured bacterium. RNAcentral's name for it is "partial 16S ribosomal RNA". It matches the Rfam family "Bacterial small subunit ribosomal RNA", at positions 346 to 524 of the family's 1533-position model. The record is from RNAcentral.
AGGCAGCAGUGAGGAAUAUUGGACAAUGGGCGCAAGCCUGAUCCAGCCAUGCCGCGUGCAGGAUGACGGUCCUAUGGAUUGUAAACUGCUUUUAUACGAGAAGAAACACCUCUACGUGUAGAGACUUGACGGUAUCGUAAGAAUAAGGAUCGGCUAACUCCGUGCCAGCAGCCGCGGUAAU